UGCAAUCACUACUGUAAGUCGCUCUGGAUAAGAGCGUCUGCUAAAUGACUUAAA
Non-coding RNA from Salmo salar (Atlantic salmon), 54 nucleotides. The record is from Rfam. NCBI's taxonomy places the organism in Eukaryota, Metazoa, Chordata, Actinopteri, Salmoniformes, Salmonidae.